Molecule: ribosomal RNA, 253 nt
Filed under: uncultured bacterium
Lineage: Bacteria
Description: partial 16S ribosomal RNA
Rfam family: Bacterial small subunit ribosomal RNA
Source: RNAcentral
UACGUAGGAGGCGAGCGUUGUCCGGAAUUACUGGGCGUAAAGCGCACGUAGGCGGCUUUUUAAGUCAGAGGUGAAAUCCCGGGGCUCAAUCCCGGAACUGCCUUUGAAACUGGAGAGCUAGAAUCUUGGAGAGGCGAGUGGAAUUCCGAGUGUAGAGGUGAAAUUCGUAGAUAUUCGGAAGAACACCAGUGGCGAAGGCGACUCGCUGGACAAGUAUUGACGCUGAGGUGCGAAAGCGUGGGGAGCAAACAGG